GGAGAUAUAGCAUAGUGGCAGAGCACUUGCCUACCGUGUAUGAGCUUGGGUUUGAAACCCAACAUCCCCC
This 70-nucleotide transfer RNA is filed under the name Ictidomys tridecemlineatus (thirteen-lined ground squirrel). RNAcentral's name for it is "Spermophilus tridecemlineatus (thirteen-lined ground squirrel) tRNA". It matches the Rfam family "tRNA". From Rfam's summary of the family: Transfer RNA (tRNA) molecules are approximately 80 nucleotides in length. Their secondary structure includes four short double-helical elements and three loops (D, anti-codon, and T loops). Lineage: Eukaryota; Metazoa; Chordata; Mammalia; Rodentia; Sciuridae. The record is from Rfam by way of RNAcentral.